Molecule: long non-coding RNA, 2647 nt
Organism: Bacillus rossius redtenbacheri
Lineage: Eukaryota; Metazoa; Arthropoda; Insecta; Phasmatodea; Bacillidae
Exons: 2
Source: RefSeq, a predicted model, not a curated record
CCCCCCCCCGGCUAUGCCCCUAGGCUUAAAAUAUUCAAUAUUUCAUUAUUCUAUUCAUGCACAGUACAUAAAAAAAUUUCUAUAUGAACUGCACAUAUAUAUUUUAAUGUAACAUGUCAACUUUUAUGAGGUACCGGUAUAGGCUGAAAGAAAUGGACAUGGAUAGGGUUCUUUUGGGCAGGGCUGUUAUGAAUAAAAAAAUACGACAACUUUAAAAAUUACUCAAUAUUUAUGUUUAUUUCCAUUAAUAUAUUUGUGAUGAAACUGUGGGCUCUAACUUUCACAUAAAUAAAUGUAUUAUUUCUGUACUGAGCAUUACCAAAACAGAUAUUACAGAGUAAUAUUUCCUCUUUACAUUCUACGACCAGAUGACACUCUGCAAGUCAACCUACACUAAAGCACACAAUUGUGUUGAACCUCAGUAUCCAUCUAUGUGAAAAAUUACUUUUAUGGUGAGAAACAGAAUCUUGUAAUUUGUGCAAAAAAAAAAAAAAUUAUUUGUUAUUUUGACCAACAGAAUUUGUGUUAUCACAAGUUAUAUAACUUCAGUGUGCCUAGAUGUUAAACAUAGUUAGUUGAAGUGUAGUACGUUCUGGUAUCUCUGAAAUAAACUGUUUGAUGCAAUAACAUGCAUACAUGUAUCCAAUUCUUUCCCAGCAACCCAAAUAUCAGCUGAUACAUUAAAAUUUUCUGCUUUAAAUGCUAUAUGGCUAGUAACUCCUAUUCUCUUUAAAUGUACUUGAUUCCUGUAAAUGUAACCUGGUAAUAUUCUAUUGGUUAUUCCUCGAACAAAACUUAAGCAGGAAAAUGCUCAGAAUAAUGACAGUAAGUACAUAUACUCAAUAACAAACAAAACAGUUCCUGCGUAACAUACAUGAAUCAGCCAUUAAACAUUAGAAUAUGUACACACACAAAUACAAUUCAAAGUUAUUAGUUUUAACUUUAAAAUUGGGCUUAAAUAACUUUCUUCAAUUUAAACAAUUCUGUACCCCAUAGGGAAAGGGUACUAUGUCCAUUUAUCUAAGUUUACAGGAGAACAUUUUAAAGUUUUUUAUUAUAACCAGUAAAUACAUAAAAAUUAAUUAAAAAUGCUAACCAAAUUAUUAUAUCACAAUUUUAUAAGUAUGUACAUACAUUUUUCAUUGAGUUAGGAAUUGAUAGGCCUACAAACAUUAUAAAUCCCAUAUUGAUUACAUAGAAAGUUUAAAAUGUUACAAUUAAGAUAUAGACGGGGCACGCUGGAGCAAUGGACCCACGACCAACAACGGCCUAGCUUUCCAAGAUAUCCUGGCGCCCUCCGGACAUCAUCAUCAUCAUUACAACACCCGUACAGCCCGUCAGGUAUUCCCCGGGCCUUCCACAGAGGACCGGGUGACAGCAGGUGUAAAUGCAUGUAGCUGAUUUUGUAUUUGCCACCACAGGAAAAUGAAACAUUAAGGUAACAUGCUAUAGAUACAAAGAGAAAUAUCAUUGUAUUAAAUUAAUUAAUUAAAUGCACCUGUGGCAGUCUACAAGCAGAACACUCUCGCACUGCUCAUUUCACAAUCCCCUCCUAGUGUGAACCCCACUGUCGCAUAUCAAGCGGGGAAAAAAAAUUAGAUGUUUUAAAAUCAACUUCCAGAAAUAAAUAUAACAGCAAUAAACGGGAAGAAAUGGAUUGAUUGAUUGAUUGAGUGCUGUGAUUUAAUGUAAUAUUAACCAAUGUCUUACAGUCAAUAGUUUUUAAGGGCCUUCAAACUAAUUUUUAAGUCGACAAUAAUUUGUCAAUAUGACAGCAAAUGUAAUAAAUUAAGAAAGACUGGAUUAAGAUACAAACAUAAAGAAAGUACCGGCAAUGUAACAGUUGUUGCCAGUAGAUAAAGAAGGCACCAACAAUGCAAUGCCAUUACAUUAAAGUUUGUUGGGAAUAACUGGUCAAAAAAAAUAAAAAAAUGAAAAAAAUUCUCGGCGCUUGACCUCGCCGUCGUUACCUGCUGAGACACAUUUCUUACACAUUCUUUAAACAAAUUCUCUAUUUCAUUGUUAUCGUGCGCAAUAUUUACAAUCUAUUUAACAUUGCCGCGCGUUUUUCAAAAGAAAACCAACUUCCGAAGAUGGCCGAAGGUUAACCCUUCGGGCUUCAUCGGGAUGUACCUCAACUUUUGUACAUUGUAGUCUUCCCCAGCAGUAAACCCGCGGACAGCCGAAGAUUCACCCCCUUAGAUCGACAUGCCCUUCGGGCUGGGUCGGUCAUGUUCGGUUUUUUUUUAAAUUUUUUUUUUAUCUGUACGUUCAAAACAAACAUUGCAUUAUUGAUCAAAGAAUUGUAGACUAAUGUUAUUUUAUAUUUUUUAAGAGUAAAACGCAUGUACACUAAUAUUGCCCUGUUACUAAUUAUGAGAUUUUCAGGCUUGUGGAGAACAGCUUUUUUUUAUCUACUCUUUGGCUGGCCAAUGUAAAUAAGCAAUUAUUUCAUGAAUGCAGCGAGAGAGUUUAUUUGAUGUAUUUUAAAAUCACUGAUAAUAUUUAUUGGUGUAUUUUAAAAUCACUGAUAAUAUUUAUUGGUGUAUUUUAAAAUCGCUGAUAAUAUUUGUUUUGUGGCUGGAAGAUGGUAACCAUGGUGACUUGUGAAUUUUUAUGAAGGAUUAAUAAAAAGCAGUAAAAAUUA